GACGAACGCUGGCGGCGUGCUUAACACAUGCAAGUCGAACGGAAAGGCCCCUUUGGGGGUACUCGAGUGGCGAACGGGUGAGUAACACGUGAGUAACCUGCCCUUGACUUCGGGAUAACUUCAGGAAACUGGGGCUAAUACCGGAUAGGAAUCCUUGCUGCAUGGUGGGGGUUGGAAAGCUUCGGCGGUUUUGGAUGGACUCGCGGCUUAUCAGCUUGUUGGUGGGGUAGUGGCUUACCAAGGCUUUGACGGGUAGCCGGCCUGAGAGAGCGACCGGCCACAUUGGGACUGAGAUACGGCACAGACUCCUACGGGAGGCAGCAGUGGGGAAUAUUGCACAAUGGGCGGAAGCCUUAUGCAGCAACGCCGCGUGCGGGAUGACGGCCUUCGGGUUGUAAACCGCUUUCAGCAGGGGCGAAGCUUGUGGUGACGGUACCUGCAGAAGAAGCACCGGCUAACUACGUG
RNAcentral lists this ribosomal RNA (465 nucleotides) under uncultured bacterium. RNAcentral's name for it is "partial 16S ribosomal RNA". It matches the Rfam family "Bacterial small subunit ribosomal RNA", at positions 28 to 507 of the family's 1533-position model. The record is from RNAcentral.